CCUACGGGAGGCAGCAGUAGGGAAUCUUCCACAAUGGACGAAAGUCUGAUGGAGCAACGCCGCGUGAGUGAAGAAGGGUUUCGGCUCGUAAAGCUCUGUUGGUAAUGACGAAAGAUAGAGGUAGUAACUGGCCUUUAUUUGACGGUAAUUACUUAGAAAGUCACGGCUAACUACGUGCCAGCAGCCGCGGUAAUACGUAGGUGGCAAGCGUUAUCUGGAAUUACUGGGUGUAAAGGGAGAGUAGGCGGCAAGGGAAGCGAUAUGUGAAAGCCUUAAGCUUAACUUAAGGAUGGCCUAACGAACUA
Molecule: ribosomal RNA, 305 nt
Filed under: uncultured bacterium
Lineage: Bacteria
Description: bacterial SSU rRNA
Rfam family: Bacterial small subunit ribosomal RNA
Source: RNAcentral